Molecule: long non-coding RNA, 1072 nt
Filed under: Homo sapiens (human)
Lineage: Eukaryota; Metazoa; Chordata; Mammalia; Primates; Hominidae
Description: HSALNT0378275
Source: RNAcentral
CACAAAGCUGUCCUUGUUUGAAGACACUUGGGAAUUUCAGGUGUUGCCGUAAGUCUACUGAGCUCUCUGGGUGUCUAACCUUGCCUUCUUGUCAUCAGCUAUUAAAACUACUAAAACAGAAGAAUGCUUAACCACUACAGCUGUUAAAACAUUAGUACGUGCUUUGCACUUCGGGUUUCAGGAUCGAGAACAUCCUGGAAAUAAGAGCGGAAGCAGAAAAGCCAGCAGAGCAGGCCAUCACAAUAGACGUGGCGUGAGAUGUCAUGGAACUGGAGCAGUUAAACCUCAUUCUCCAGGGUACUGGUGCUACUGCCAAGAGCGGAAAACUUUCAUCUUCCAAAACCUCAAUCAGCCAGUUUCUCAUCUGCAUCCCAUAAAUCAUCAAGAAAGAACAAGCUCAUUAUCUCAGCACCAGGGACAAAAGUCUUUUACAUGACACUGAACUUCUGACUACUGCAAAACAUGGCAGCUUGCCAUCAUAUGUUUAACAGGUGUGUUGGUCCCUUUAACAGACUGGGCCAGAAGUUUGAGGAUAUGGUCUGAAAUUUCAAUUUUGUUACGUGUUGUGACUUGCACUGGGCCCAAAUCCAGAGGUAAUUGGGCCUAGUGGUCUGAAGAGUUACUUGGGUGUUCUGUAAUUUUAGUAGAUUUGGAGAAAGAGAGGUGGGGAUGUCUGUCCCUGAAGAUAUUUUCUCAUAGAAGCAAGGAAUUACAGGAACUUCUCUGUUGUGUUUUGGGUAAGUGUUUCCAUGCUGCUACUCUGAAUAAUAGGGUAGAUAUUUCCAGGUACAGGCUGUUAAAAUUUGCUAUAUUACCUCCAUUCUGUAUGUAGUUCCUUCUCUACAUAACAGUGUUGGUUAGGUAGUGGAACCUUCUAAAUGACGCACUAUGUGAUUCCUGUGUCAUAUAGAAUGUUCUAUGAUUCUUAGCCAGAUAAUCAUAUUCCCAGAAAAGGCCUCUCAACUUUCACCUGCCUUUCUAAGGACUGAAAUACUCUGAGUGUUGCAUAAAGGGUGUUCCAAAUAUGGGCAUUCACCUGUUUCCUGAUUAAAAAAAGAUAAUUUGGUAUGAA